AAAUAGUUGUUAUUGACGAUAGCAUUUAUCUUGUGUUGUUCAGCUUGUCCUGUUAAAAUAAUAUAUAACUCAAAGUGUAAGAUAAAUUAUACGAGCAAUAAUAUUUAAUAUAACAUGUAAAAAUAAUUAAAUGCUUAGAAGUAAUAGAAUCUUUUUUAACUUAACUGUUAAGCACAUAUACAUUUUUCUUUCACGCAUAGCACCAUGGUAGGAAGAAUACAUCGAUUGUAUGCACAAUCAAGGACAGAAGUACAAUUAACAGCUGUGAUAUAAAACAACAAAAAAAUCAUAUGAAUGAUAUAUAGAUGAUGAAAUUUUUUUGUAUAAGAUUAAAAAGAAAAUUUGAAAAUAUGAGAAAAUGGGCUUACUCCUUGCAUCAGUUACAACAAGAUAUAGGGAAAAAAAGAGGAUCAUAACAUAAUAAGCUAACAUGAGAAUUUUUUCCAUGUUUUUCCUUAUAUUCAUGUAACAAACUGAAAAUUAUUUUAUUAGUUUAUAUAAUUUACAAAAUCCCAUAAUUCAUUUGAAUAAAAU
RNAcentral lists this long non-coding RNA (534 nucleotides) under Trifolium pratense (red clover). RNAcentral's name for it is "long non-coding RNA (TPRA_LNC009036)". Lineage: Eukaryota; Viridiplantae; Streptophyta; Magnoliopsida; Fabales; Fabaceae. The record is from RNAcentral.